AACGAACGCUGGCGGCAUGCCUAACACAUGCAGGUCGAACGAGACCUUCGGGUCUAGUGGCGCACGUGUGCGUAACGCGUGGUAACCUGCCCUUAGGUUCGGAAUAACUCCCCGAAGGGGGUGCUAAUACCGGAUAAUGUCUUCGCACCAAAGAUUUAUCGCCGUUGGAUGGGCCCGCGUUGGAUUAGCUAGUUGGUAGGGUAAUAGCCUACCAAGGCGACGAUCCAUAGCUGGUCUGAGAGGAUGAUCAGCCACACUGGGACUGAGACACGGACCAGACUGCUACGGGAGGCAGCAGUGGGGAAUAUUGGAGAAGGGGCGAAAGCCUGAUCCAGCAAUGCCGCGUGAGUGAUGAAGGGCGUAGGGUUGUAAAGCUCUUUUACCCGGGAUGAGAAUGACAGUACCGGGAGAAUAAGCACCGGCUAACUACGUG
This 433-nucleotide ribosomal RNA is filed under the name uncultured bacterium. Its description in RNAcentral is "partial 16S ribosomal RNA". It matches the Rfam family "Bacterial small subunit ribosomal RNA", at positions 29 to 507 of the family's 1533-position model. The record is from RNAcentral.